Molecule: ribosomal RNA, 230 nt
Filed under: uncultured bacterium
Lineage: Bacteria
Description: partial 16S ribosomal RNA
Rfam family: Bacterial small subunit ribosomal RNA
Source: RNAcentral
UAAAGCGUGCGCAGGCGGUUAUGUAAGACAGAUGUGAAAUCCCCGGGCUCAACCUGGGAACUGCAUUAGUGACUGCAUAGCUGGAGUACGGCAGAGGGGGAUGGAAUUCCGCGUGUAGCAGUGAAAUGCGUAGAUAUGCGGAGGAACACCGAUGGCGAAGGCAAUCCCCUGGGCCUGUACUGACGCUCAUGCACGAAAGCGUGGGGAGCAAACAGGAUUAGAACCCGUGU